Molecule: non-coding RNA, 955 nt
Organism: Pelobates cultripes (western spadefoot toad)
Lineage: Eukaryota; Metazoa; Chordata; Amphibia; Anura; Pelobatidae
Source: the annotation of a GenBank genome assembly
CUGGAGGCUUUAGAUUAGAGUAGUGACUUGGAAGAACCUUAAAGGGACACUCCAGGCACCCAGACCACUUCUGCCCAUUGGAGUGGUCUGGGUGCCAACUCCAACUACCCUGAAUCCUGCAAGUGUAAUUAUUGCAGUUUUCAUAAACUGCAAUAUUUACCUUGCAGGGUUAAUGCCUCCUCUAAGGGCUGUCUACUAGACAGCCACUUGAGGGCACUUCCUUGUUUAUAGCACAUGAAAAGUGUGCUAUAAUGUCGCUGGACAUCCUCACGCUAUGUGUGUACCUCCAGCGUCGCUGAAAUCCCCAUAGGAAAGCAUUGUCGCGCAUGCGCAUUAAGUCUUCCCCGCCGGCGGCCGCGCAUGCUCAAUAGGUCUCCCCCACCGGAUGACGUCGGCGGGGGAGCAGCAUGGGCGGACCCAUACCCAGCGCUGAGGGACAUCGGCGCUGGAUACAGGUAAGUCACUGAAGGGGUUUUAACCCCUUCAGCAACUUAGGAUGGAGGGUGGAAGGGAGAGGCGACCUGCAGUGCCAGGAAAACAGUUUGUUUUCCUGGCACUGGAGAAUCCCUUUAACUCCCAUGCUUUCCAACAACCCAGUAGCUAUACACACAGCAUAACAGCAAUAAAUCUUCAGCUGCUGUAUGACAGACCCUCUCAGUCGCAGCCACACACAGCAUGACAGACCCUCAGCCAGAGCCUCAAACAACAUGACUUUGAACCAGCAGUACAAAAAAAAAAAACAUGUGACAGACAAAGCACCAGCCGUGCGCACAUUCACAGUGUGACAGACAGACCGACCCUCGAUCAAAACACUUUGUGACAGACAGACAGACCGACCCUCGGUCAAAACACUUUGUGACAGACAGACAGACCGACCCUCGGUCAAAACACAGUGUGACAGACAGACAGACCGACCCUCGGUCAAAACACAGUGUGACAGACAGACAGACCGACC